RNAcentral lists this ribosomal RNA (754 nucleotides) under uncultured Diversispora. RNAcentral's name for it is "SSU rRNA". It matches the Rfam family "Eukaryotic small subunit ribosomal RNA", at positions 339 to 1092 of the family's 1831-position model. Lineage: Eukaryota; Fungi; Glomeromycota; Glomeromycetes; Diversisporales; Diversisporaceae. The record is from RNAcentral.
GCCUACCAUGGUUUUAACGGGUAACGGGGAAUUAGGGUUCGAUUCCGGAGAGGGAGCCUGAGAAACGGCUACCACAUCCAAGGAAGGCAGCAGGCGCGCAAAUUACCCAAUCCCGACACGGGGAGGUAGUGACAAUAAAUAACAAUACGGGGCUCAUUUGGGUCUCGUAAUUGGAAUGAGUACAAUUUAAAUCUCUUAACGAGGAACAAUUGGAGGGCAAGUCUGGUGCCAGCAGCCGCGGUAAUUCCAGCUCCAAUAGCGUAUAUUAAAGUUGUUGCAGUUAAAAAGCUCGUAGUUGAACUUCGGGGUUCACCCAUUGGUCAGGCUUAAUUGUCUGCACUGGUGAGAUGGGUCUCUACCUUCUGAGGAACUUUCAUGCCAUUUAUUUGGUGUGAUUGGAAAUCAGGACUGUUACUUUGAAAAAAUUAGAGUGUUUAAAGCAGGCUAACGUCUGAAUACAUUAGCAUGGAAUAAUGAAAUAGGACGGACUGAUUCUAUUUCGUUGGUUUCUAGGAUCACCGUAAUGACUAAUAGGGAUAGUUGGGGGCAUUAGUAUUCAAUUGUCAGAGGUGAAAUUCAUGGAUUUAUUGAAGACUAACUACUGCGAAAGCAUUUGCCAAGGAUGUUUUCAUUAAUCAAGAACGAAAGUUAGGGGAUCGAAGACGAUCAGAUACCGUCGUAGUCUUAACCAUAAACUAUGCCGACUGGGGAUCGGACGAAGUUAAUUUUAUAAUGACGCGUUCGGCACCUUACG